GCGUUCCGCCCCCCAACAUCAACCUGCGUUGGAGCUUCGAGCGGCGGUGAUCAACACUCUUCCCCGCCGCCAGGGGGAGACGCGCCCAGCAAUACUCCUCCCCGCCGCCAGGGGGCAGCGUCGUCUCGCCAACACCCUCCGCCCCGCCCCGCCAAUGGCGCCCAACGGUCAAGAUUUAAAGCCAGACUAAACGGAGGAGGUGGGACUGAGGUAAAACCCGAUCGUAUUUACCGAGACAGAGACAGAGACAGAGAGAGAGAGAGAGAAAAACCCCAACACGGAUGACAUACAUGGCCAGGCAGCAAAAGCAAAGAGACAUGAAGAG
Amblyraja radiata (thorny skate) is the source of this 325-nucleotide long non-coding RNA. RefSeq lists it as uncharacterized. The record is from RefSeq and is a predicted model, not a curated record. The transcript has 3 exons. Lineage: Eukaryota; Metazoa; Chordata; Chondrichthyes; Rajiformes; Rajidae.